Sinocyclocheilus grahami is the source of this 286-nucleotide long non-coding RNA. RefSeq lists it as uncharacterized. Lineage: Eukaryota; Metazoa; Chordata; Actinopteri; Cypriniformes; Cyprinidae. The record is from RefSeq and is a predicted model, not a curated record. The transcript is spliced from 3 exons.
AGUUGACAGACACACACUGGCAGGGCCGCUGGCUGGUCCUUAGCAAUCCUUGCAUGUGGCAUUUAGGAAAGAAAUGACGAUUCGAGGAAGAAAGGAAGUCUCAAGUUUGGGAUGACAUAAGCACCGAGGGUGGCAGGCAUCAAAGGGCAGGAAGAGAAGAGAACCCACACCCACUGAGCUAACAUUUAAACUCCAUCUAAUCCCACCAGGAACCAAAGGCACCGCGCUGAACGUCAGAUUAAACCCAGAAAUAUGUAUGAAAAAAAUCUGCUUUCUCCUGCUUUCA